CAGUAGCCGCGGUAAUACGUAGGGUGCGAGCGUUAAUCGGAAUUACUGGGCGUAAAGCGCGCGCAGGCGGUUCGUUAAGACAGAUGUGAAAUCCCCGGGCUUAACCUGGGAACUGCAUUUGUGACUGGCGAGCUAGAGUAUGGCAGAGGGGGGUAGAAUUCCACGUGUAGCAGUGAAAUGCGUAGAGAUGUGGAGGAAUACCGAUGGCGAAGGCAGCCCCCUGGGCCUAUACUGACGCUCAUGCACGAAAGCGUGGGGAGCAAACAGGAUUAGAUACCCCAGUAGUCCCUGUCUCUUAUAC
This 301-nucleotide ribosomal RNA is filed under the name uncultured bacterium. RNAcentral describes it as "partial 16S ribosomal RNA". It matches the Rfam family "Bacterial small subunit ribosomal RNA", at positions 509 to 807 of the family's 1533-position model. The record is from RNAcentral.